CGCCUCUUGAUAAAAUAUAAGAGGUCCAGCCUGCCCAGUGACUCUGUUCAACGGCCGCGGUAUCCUAACCGUGCGAAGGUAGCGUAAUCACUUGUUCUUUAAAUGGGGACUAGUAUGAAUGGCAUCACGAAGGUUAUACUGUCUCCUCUUUCCAAUCAGUGAAACUAAUCUCCCCGUGAAGAAGCGAGGAUAGACCUAUAAGACGAGAAGACCCUAUGGAGCUUUAAACCAAGUAACACUUGCAUCAAUUCAGCAUAAAUUUCAGAAAAACCUCACUCACCCAUGCAAGAUUAUUACUAGUUUUAGGUUGGGGUGACCGCGGAGCAAAAGACAACCUCCACAUUGAAAGGAGCCCACUCCUCAGCCAAGAGUUACACCUCUACGCACCAUUAUAAUGACAUUAAUUGACCCAAUAUUUUGAUCAACGAACCAAGUUACCCUAGGGAUAACAGCGCAAUCCACUUCAAGAGCUCCUAUCGACAAGUGGGUUUACGACCUCGAUGUUGGAUCAGGGUAUCCCGGUGGUGUAGCCGCUACUAAUGGUUCGUUUGUUCAACGAUUAAAACCCU
This 569-nucleotide ribosomal RNA is filed under the name Teratohyla midas (Santa Cecilia cochran frog). RNAcentral describes it as "partial 16S ribosomal RNA". It matches the Rfam family "Bacterial large subunit ribosomal RNA", at positions 1829 to 2597 of the family's 2925-position model. Lineage: Eukaryota; Metazoa; Chordata; Amphibia; Anura; Centrolenidae. The record is from RNAcentral.